This 65-nucleotide transfer RNA is filed under the name Pseudoneureclipsis sibuyana. Its description in RNAcentral is "tRNA-Leu". Lineage: Eukaryota; Metazoa; Arthropoda; Insecta; Trichoptera; Polycentropodidae. The record is from RNAcentral.
UCUAAUAUGGCAGAAAUAAUGCAGUGAACUUAAACCCCACUUAUAAAGAAUUACUUUUUUUAGAA